This 160-nucleotide ribosomal RNA is filed under the name uncultured bacterium. Its description in RNAcentral is "partial 16S ribosomal RNA". It matches the Rfam family "Bacterial small subunit ribosomal RNA", at positions 355 to 532 of the family's 1533-position model. The record is from RNAcentral.
UGGGGAAUUUUGCACAAUGGGGGAAACCCUGAUGCAGCAACGCCGCGUGAGUGAUGAAGGCCUUUGGGUUGUAAACUUCUUUCGAUCGGGACGAUUAUGACGGUACCGGAAGAAGAAGCACCGGCUAACUCUGUGCCAGCAGCCGCGGUAAUACUACGUG